This is a long non-coding RNA of Suricata suricatta (meerkat), 279 nucleotides long. RefSeq lists it as uncharacterized. The transcript has 4 exons. NCBI's taxonomy places the organism in Eukaryota, Metazoa, Chordata, Mammalia, Carnivora, Herpestidae. The record is from RefSeq and is a predicted model, not a curated record.
UCCACAGCCCCUGCCGUGUUGGCUUCAUCUUCGAGCCGGACUCCAGGCUGCCACCCUGCCAGAUGUUCUGUGGACAUCAGCUGCUUCUUGACAGACAGCCAUCCUCCACCAUAAUCACCCACACAUGGUGGAUGAAUGUGGACUAAGCAAAUGGAUGCUGAGAGUAUUUACAAGGAAAAUUGAAAGCUGAGUUUCUUCUCCACCCUCCAGCAAACAUCGCUAGAGGCAAGCCCGGAGAUCCGGUUCACCAGGAGUGGUUAUGAAGUCUGCAGUGACUUA